AACACAAAAGACACAGACACCCUGGCUGUGAAUGAAUGAGGAGAUUCCUGGAUCCCAUCCACAGAGCCUGGGAUUCAGGAAGCAUGGAGGUACUGAGGAGGAAUAAAGUGUGUCUUGACAGAAGAAAGGAAUGAAUCAGUAAGGAAAGUAUAAAGAUAGAGAAAAAAUUAUCAGGAAGUGAGAACGAGGCGGGAGGAAAACGAAAAUGAAUGUGAAAUGACUUAAUGGGACCCCCAAAAAGACAAGACUGGGCAGUAUUGGAGUGACACACAGAUAUGAAGCUCUUUCCACACCUGAAGGAUC
RNAcentral lists this long non-coding RNA (303 nucleotides) under Homo sapiens (human). RNAcentral's name for it is "HSALNT0109255". Lineage: Eukaryota; Metazoa; Chordata; Mammalia; Primates; Hominidae. The record is from RNAcentral.